AGAAUCAGAGGCUCCUGCAACUCAAUCUUUUAUUUUUUCCAAUGCCCUUUGGCAAUCAUUAUUUCACCUGACCGUUUAAAUUUUUUCCAAUGGCUUGAAUAUAGGUUCGCACGUGGCUGUUAGAUGAGAUGUGAACCAUGACAGGUAGUUCAAUCUUUCUAAGAAACCACGAACCUCUUUUUCUGUUUUUCCUCGGUUCAGGCAUUUUUUUUUUUUUUUUUU
RNAcentral lists this long non-coding RNA (222 nucleotides) under Lathyrus oleraceus (garden pea). Its description in RNAcentral is "Pisum sativum (pea) long non-coding RNA (PSAT_LNC017275)". Lineage: Eukaryota; Viridiplantae; Streptophyta; Magnoliopsida; Fabales; Fabaceae. The record is from RNAcentral.